Molecule: ribosomal RNA, 242 nt
Filed under: uncultured bacterium
Lineage: Bacteria
Description: partial 16S ribosomal RNA
Rfam family: Bacterial small subunit ribosomal RNA
Source: RNAcentral
CCGGCGCACGGGUGAGUAACACGUAUGCAAUCCACCUGUAACCGGGGGAUAACCCGGAGAAAUCCGGACUAAUACCCCAUAAUAUGGGCGCUCCGCAUGGAGAGCCCAUUAAAGAGAGCAAUUUUGGUUACAGACGAGCAUGCGCUCCAUUAGCCAGUUGGCGGGGUAACGGCCCACCAAAGCGACGAUGGAUAGGGGUUCUGAGAGGAAGGUCCCCACAUUGGAACUGAGACACGGUCCAA